This 82-nucleotide transfer RNA is filed under the name Schistocerca americana (American grasshopper). RNAcentral describes it as "tRNA-Ser". It matches the Rfam family "tRNA". Rfam says of the family: Transfer RNA (tRNA) molecules are approximately 80 nucleotides in length. Their secondary structure includes four short double-helical elements and three loops (D, anti-codon, and T loops). Further hydrogen bonds mediate the characteristic L-shaped molecular structure. tRNAs have two regions of fundamental functional importance: the anti-codon, which is responsible for specific mRNA codon recognition, and the 3' end, to which the tRNAs corresponding amino acid is attached (by aminoacyl-tRNA synthetases). tRNAs cope with the degeneracy of the genetic code in two manners: having more than one tRNA (with a specific anti-codon) for a particular amino acid; and 'wobble' base-pairing, i.e. permitting non-standard base-pairing at the 3rd anti-codon position. The record is from RNAcentral. Lineage: Eukaryota; Metazoa; Arthropoda; Insecta; Orthoptera; Acrididae.
GCAGUCGUGGCCGAGUGGUUUAAGGCGUCUGACUUGAAAUCAGAUUCCCUCUGGAGCGUAGGUUCGAGUCCUGCCGACUGCG